CGCGUAGGUGGCCAAUUAAGUCAAAUGUGAAAUCCCCGAGCUUAACUUGGGAAUUGCAUUCGAUACUGGUUGGCUAGAGUAUGGGAGAGGAUGGUAGAAUUCCAGGUGUAGCGGUCGAAAUGCGUAGAGAUCUGGAGGAAUACCGAUGGCGAAGGCAGCCAUCUGGCCUAAUACUGACACUGAGGUGCGAAAGCAUGGGAGGCAAACAA
RNAcentral lists this ribosomal RNA (209 nucleotides) under uncultured bacterium. RNAcentral describes it as "partial 16S ribosomal RNA". It matches the Rfam family "Bacterial small subunit ribosomal RNA", at positions 568 to 775 of the family's 1533-position model. The record is from RNAcentral.